Long non-coding RNA from Entelurus aequoreus (snake pipefish), 930 nucleotides. RefSeq lists it as uncharacterized. The record is from RefSeq and is a predicted model, not a curated record. NCBI's taxonomy places the organism in Eukaryota, Metazoa, Chordata, Actinopteri, Syngnathiformes, Syngnathidae. The transcript is spliced from 3 exons.
UUUACAUGUCUUGUUGUGUUUCAAGCUCUCACCCUCAUGCAAGUCGUAAAAAAAUUGCCCGUCGCCAGCGUUUGUCCCAGCAGGAGGCAUGGAAUCGCACGAGCAUGGUGCAUUCCAAACCCCACUUGGAUUAGGAGUGAGGCGAGAUCCUCCGAUUAUCACUUCUGCGGCAGUGAGAAACACAGCAAUCCUGGCGCUGAAAUCCAAUGCAGAAUGCUGGACGACAGCAAAGACUUACUGCGGAGCAAAGACGGCGUCCACAAUGUACAUCCGAACAUGACAUGACAAUCAACAAUGUCCCCACAAAGAAGGUUGGGAGAGUGGCCGUGCCAGCAACCUGAGGGUUCCUGGUUCAAUCCCCACCUUCUACCAACCUCGUCACGUCCGUUGUGUCCUUGGGCAGGACACUUCACCCUUGCUCCUGAUGGGUCCUGGUUAGCGCCUUGCAUGGCAGCUCCCACCAUCAGUGUGUGAAUGUGUGUGUGAAUGGGUGAAUGUGGAAAUAGUGUCAAAGCGCUUUGAGUACAUUGAAGGUAGAAAAGUGCUAUACAAGUAUAACCCAUUUACCAUUUAACCCAUUUACAUUGUAUCGUAUGCAUGUUGGAAAUAAACUGAAACUGAACUGAACUGAACCAACAUUAGUAUGAAUAUGAAGCAUUGAAUGCAUUGGUAAUCCAACGCUGGCAUUGUAGAAAUGUAGAAAUGUACGAACAUCAGGCAUGAGGUUAGCGUGAGGCAGCACAGAUUUCCACGUCAUCCCCCACGACCCUCGGAAGUGUGUUUACCUAACCAGUACUAUUUUCUUAUUUCUGCUCGCGCAGUGAGUCCCGUUGAGUGACACCUUGUUCAUUUCACUGUGUCAAGCUUGCCUUGGAGUACGUUUUGGAGUUCCUGAUGGGUUAUUGCUUGCCUAAAUAAAGAGCCUCUUCC